GAUGAACGCUGGCGGCGUGCCUAAUACAUGCAAGUCGAGCGAACAGACGAGGAGCUUGCUCCUCUGACGUUAGCGGCGGACGGGUGAGUAACACGUGGAUAACCUACCUAUAAGACUGGGAUAACUUCGGGAAACCGGAGCUAAUACCGGAUAAUAUAUUGAACCGCAUGGUUCAAUAGUGAAAGACGGUUUUGCUGUCACUUAUAGAAGGAUCCGCGCCGCAUUAGCUAGUUGGUAAGGUAACGGCUUACCAAGGCAACGAUGCGUAGCCGACCUGAGAGGGUGAUCGGACACACUGGAACUGAGACACGGUCCAGACUCCUACGGGAGGCAGCAGUAGGGAAUCUUCCGCAAUGGGCGAAAGCUUGACGGAGCAACGCCGCGUGAGUGAUGAAGGUCUUCGGAUCGUAAAACUCUGUUAUUAGGGAAGAACAAAUGUGUAAGUAACUAUGCACGUCUUGACGGUACCUAAUCAGAAAGCCACGGCUAACUACGUG
RNAcentral lists this ribosomal RNA (497 nucleotides) under uncultured bacterium. RNAcentral's name for it is "partial 16S ribosomal RNA". It matches the Rfam family "Bacterial small subunit ribosomal RNA", at positions 28 to 507 of the family's 1533-position model. The record is from RNAcentral.